Long non-coding RNA from Patella vulgata (common limpet), 2157 nucleotides. RefSeq lists it as uncharacterized. NCBI's taxonomy places the organism in Eukaryota, Metazoa, Mollusca, Gastropoda, Patellidae. The transcript is spliced from 5 exons. The record is from RefSeq and is a predicted model, not a curated record.
AAGGCGAAACGACAGGUGAAGGCUGACAGCUGUCAAUCAUUCUGCACUGGUGGCCAUGAUGCCGCCUGUCAGAUUUUCAUGACUACGAAAGAGUGUUCACCCUGUUCACUUCGUCCACUUCACUCAGCAGGGCCUACACACAGUUUGUGAAAUUAUCUUACUCUGAAUAUCAAGAAAUCGCUGAGACAAUGGCACCCGUAGUAAUUCAAGUAGAAUAUUGUGGUUCCUGAGGCUUUGAACCUCGGUACCGAGAACUUAGACAACAAAUAUUGUCAAAGUUUCCAGCAUCCGAGGUUCAAAUUUCGGGAAGAGUGGGACGUCGUAGUAGCUUUGAGAUCACAAUGAAUAACAAGGUUGUGUUUUCCAAAUUGAAACUUGGAGGAUUUCCAGAAGAUGAAGAUGUGUUUGAAGCUAUUAAUCAAGCACAAGAAAAUCUUGAACCCAAGGAAAUAACAACCUCUAAAAAUCCUUGUGUUAUUCUGUAAAUAAGACCCACUGUUGACUCGACAACCUAAUUUAAACUCAGUGUUCGACUUAAAUAAUAAUAAUAAUGCAUCCAUUUUACCAUUUUAUCAAAUGUUAAAUCCAUGAAAUGUGCUCAUGGUGCAUUGAACACAAGUGUCUCAUAAUAAAAUUUAAAGUUUUCAAGUAAGAUCUGAAUUGAUGGAGUGUUGGACUUCUUUUGAGGUUUGAAGUUAGAUUAUUCCAAUUCGUGGAUGCAGCAACUUUAACUUCCACUGAGGAACACAAAAAUAUUUCUCAUUAAUUGUUGGAAAAACAAAAUCUUUUAAAAUAUACUUACCUGUAAUUGAUAUUAUGUACUUUUUAAGCUAACCUACUUAAUACUCAGGACAUAAGAAAUCAGCUAAUGCAUUAUUCCAUGGGGAUGUUUUAUUUUUGAUAUUAUUUUGUAAAAUAAUGUUUAUUUCUUUGAUAUUCUAUUUAAUCUUAGGUUAAAAAUAAUAGUAGUGCUUGUCUGUUUUGAGUAGAACUUGACUCUAAUUUCGGGUUGUUGUUGUUUUGUCAGGGGCCACUGAAAAAUUCUCAAUGAUUUUCAAAUAUCUUGUUUUUUCACCAGAGCAGUUCACGUAUGAUUUCAAAUACCUAAAUAUUAAACGAUGGUGUUUGACUGAUGGAUUGAUAAGCUUUGAUGUUAAAAUGACAUAUUGCUAUCCUUGAAAAUGUUUCAGUGAUGUAUAGUUUUAAAUUAAUUUUAUAUAUCUAUUUGAAUAUUACACUAUUUCUUUAAUUGCCAACAUUGAAAUGUGGUUGUACAUUUUCACAUGGUCUGUACCCAGUCAGUCAAGCUUCCAUUAUUGCUUGUGGACAAUGAUCUAGAGGUUAAUGUUAUCGUCUGAUUGACUUUAAAUUUAAACAGUGUUUAUGUUCAGGAGACCAAGAAGCUUAUUGAUUACUUGAGGGGCUAAAGUCAUGGACUUGAUAUUUACACACUGGGUUUAUGUUCUUAAGACAUCUGAUUAAAUUCACAUUUAUACAGUGCUUAUGUUCAUGCAAAAGUCUGUUAAUUUUCAACGAUUUCCCAUAAUUCGAACGACUGGAGAUAUCAUCUGAUUACCAGUACAUGUUUUUUGUAUAAUAAAUGUUAGCACUGGGAAGAACUAAAAGCCAAUGGGUUGUUACUCUCAUCAGUUUUUAGUGUCUUGUAAAUGCUCCAAUUACCUACAUAAGAAUAAAUAUAUGACAACUUGACAAGCCUUGUGGACGGCUAUGAUGACUAGGCUGCAUUUGGCAUGUGUUGUGUUAACUGGCAACCAAUUUUUCAUAGUAGUAACUAGUAGUAUGCAUGUACAUGUAUUUAAAUGUUGUUUCUCAGAUGACUUCAUGGUAAGAACAAUCUUUAUGUUAAUACUCCCAUAACAAACAUUCAUAUCAUUCAAAAUGUUAUAUUCUUAAUAUGAUUGAUUCCCAAUUGUAUUGACAAGGAACUUUUGUUAAAAAAUCUCCCUCAUUUUCUUUCUUUUUAAAUUUGGACUCUAGAGAAAUACACUGGGGCUUGACUUGAAAUAAUUGUGAUAAUAUUUGUUUACUUUAUUUAUUCAUUAAUAUAUUGUUUAAGAUUAUUUUUUUAAAAAUUUCCCAGUGGUAAUAUUAAAAUAUAUACUAUAAUUUCUUUUUGAUUAAAAUAUUUCAGCCUUA